RNAcentral lists this long non-coding RNA (5196 nucleotides) under Homo sapiens (human). Its description in RNAcentral is "PREDICTED lncRNA (TCONS_00014994)". The stretch from base 897 to 1028 matches the Rfam family "Small nucleolar RNA SNORA44". Lineage: Eukaryota; Metazoa; Chordata; Mammalia; Primates; Hominidae. The record is from RNAcentral.
CUUUCUCCCCGCCGCAUUCCCGGUGUCGACUUACUAGCUGCAAGCCUCUGCCUGCCUUCCUGCGCGCCGUUCCCCGCUAGUCGCUGCUGCUGGCGCGCACUCGCCGGGUUUUUCCUCCCACGGCCUCGAGAUGGUGGUGAAUGUGGCACGGAGGAGCCGGGCCUUCCAACCCGGUGGGCCCGAGCUCCGAAAGGCCCCCUCGGCAGUGAGAGGGGCGGGAGCCCGCGGGGGCCGCGCCCUUCUCUCGCUUCGGACUGCGCAACGCUGCGCUCUGGGCUGACAGGUGAGUGUUGCAGGCAGGCGGCCGGGUUUACGGAAGGGGUGGGGGUUUGGGAACCGGUCUCCUGGGGGAUGCGGGGAUGAAUCCCUGGGCCUGAAGUGUCUUAAUUCAGGGGGAGGCCGCAUGCUGGUGUCAGGAUGGCCUCCAGUUGAAUCUGUGACAUUUACCAGCUAGGUGAUUUUGGGACUGGUGACUACGCGCGAGACCUCUGGAGGUCGCCCUGGUAGACACGGUUUUCAGAAGGACGGGUUUUAGGCAUUCAGACCCUUGCGUGCAUCCCAGCUUGUUGCUUUCAGCCUCGCUAAGUGACUAAGCGACCUUCAGGAAGUAACUUAAUCGGUCUAAACCUCUUACCUGUAAUAGGCGGAUAAAACGGUCCCAUCAAGACUGAGAAAAAGCACACCAGCUAUUGGCACAGCGUGGGCAGUGGGGCCUACAGGAUGACUGACUUAGUCUACAGAGAUCCCGGCGUACUUAAGCAGAUGAAGACUCUUAAGAUGACAGAAGGUGAUUUUUCUGGUGAUCGAGGACUUCCGGGGUAAUGACAGUGAUGAAAUGCAGGGGACCUGGUAGGUUUCUUUUGGAGACUAACUGGGGGCUGCCUGGUGGGACAGAACAGCAUGUUUCCAAGGGCUGUGGCUGGUCAUAGCCAUGGGAUCUCCAACUGCAUGCAAGAGCAACCUGGAAAGACUUUGACAGCGCAGGUCAGUACAAUACCUGCAAGCUGCCACUCAGCUUUCCUAUAAUGUUUCAGGACCAGGGCUGGAAGCCUUCCAUGUGUCAACUUCAAUGUAGAUGGGUUUUUUUUUUUUUUUUUUUUUGAGACGGAGUCUUGCUCUGUCACCCAGGCUGCUGGAGUGCAGUGGCAUGAUCUCGGCUCAUGGCAACCUCUGCCUCCUGGGUUCAAGCGACUCUCCUACCUCAUCCUCCCGAGUAGCUGGGAUUACAGGUGCCCACCAUCACACCCAGCUAAUUUUCUUGUAUUUUUAGUAGAGAUGGUUUUCACCAUGUUGGCUAGAUGGGUCUCGAACUUCUGACCUCGGGUGAUCCGCCCGACUCGGCCUCCCCUUCCAAAGUGCUGGGAUUACAGGCAUGAGCCACCGCUCCUGGCCAGUUUAGUUUUCACGCUAAGCUUUUUGUUCUGCAGGUUGCCCCCAAGUUUCCUGGCAGUGUGUGAUACUGAGGAGGUGAGCUUGUUUCUGGAGCUGUGCUUUAAGAUUCAUGUUACAUGUAAAGCUGUCCUCAUUUGUGACUAUGGACCUAUGGAGUUGGGUAAGUUAGUGACUACCCAAAGCUUUGUCACAACUUGGUGUGUAGCUGCAGGUAGUGCUCAACUAUCUGGGAUCCUGUCCUAAGUAGUCAACCUAAUAGAACUAUAAGGUUACUUAGGUCUGUGUCAAAGUUACAGCUUUUUUUUUUUUUUUUUUUGAGACAGGGUCUUUCUGUCACCCAGGCUGGAGUGCAGUGGCACAAUCUUGGCUAAUUGCCUCCCAGGUUCAAGUGAUUCUCCUGCCUCAGCCUCCUGAGUAGCUGGGACUAUAAGCACGCACCACUAUGUCUGGCUAAUUUUUGUAUUUUUAGUAGAGACAGGGUUUCACCACGUUGCCCAGGGCAGUCUUGAACUCCUGACCCCAAGUGAUCUGCCUGCCUUGGCCUACCAAAGUGCUAGGAUUACAGGCAUGAACCACUGUGCCGGGCCAGAAAGUCUUAGCAUCUUAGUAACAUUUACAUUUGGCCUCCCUCGUGUGCCCUUAGCUAUUCAUUACCAGAGGGCAAAGAUGGUUAGAACAUGAUUUACCCACCCUAAAAUGCAUUGAAGGCAUCAGAGGGCACCGUGGGCCACAAGGCCUGGUAGCCACAAAUGUUCAGUGGUGGCUGGAGCUCAUGAUGCAUUCUUUGGUGGGACGUCUCUCAGCAUUAGGGAGAGUUGAGAGUGGGGUAGAAACAAGGGGUUCCAUGUAGCACACACUGUAUUUAGAAUGACUGGUCCAGGAUGAAACCUAAUUUGAGUGGACAUCCAUGGAUGAGAAAUGCGGAUAUGGGACUGAGACCAGCUCCUAGGAAAAUGUCUGGGUGGGGGAAAUCUGGGAAUUAGUAACACAAUGGCUUACACUUCCUUUGCAGGACAAUCUCUAUGGGAAGCAGAAGGCAAGGACCCCGGUCAUUUUAGGUAGAAACAACAGCAUGCUAAUGCAAAAAAUUAUGCAGUGUGCUACUGAACUUCAGAGGUGAUCAAUAAAAGAAGAAUAAAAAGACUAAUAAAAGUAUAUUUGUGUUUGUAUUUUUUUGUAGAGACCGAACUGGUCUCUUCCCGAGCUCAAGCAAUCCAUCUCCCAAAGUGAGCCACCAUGCCCAGCCCUUAAAGAGAUCUUUGGAGAUUUUUUAUGAUGUAGGAUGAAUGCUUUGCCUCAAGCAGUAAGUCCCAACACAUGACAAGGUUGGACAGUUUCCCCAUUUACUUGGGAAACACGGAAGUGAGCAGUAUAAAGUUCACACGGAGGGUCUGCUUUGGCUUUGAGCUAUCUUCCUUAAUCCUUUCUGAGCUGCCUUCUCCCGUGUCAAAAUAUUGAUCCUAAAGUGAUCCAGGCCUUGUAUAUGCAGAUGCUGCAACUCAUGAAAAUAGAUGAAACCCAUUAUUAGAGCAAGUACUAAUUCUUAGGCCAACUGGCCUGUUCCAUCACACCCCACCACAUUCUACCUUCUGGGGCGUGCUCCUACCACACCUGCUAGAGUGCCUUUUCUACCUAGCUGCCAGACUUGCACCAAGUUAGGACUCAAAUAUGGCAGGUCCUACAAAUACUCCAGAGAACCCUGAUUUACAUACCUACCUGUCAACUGAGAAACCUUGAACUCAGGCUUUAGUGUGUGAAUUAUCCCAAGCUGCUCAUCCCAGUUUUGGAUAAUCCCAAACUGUCCUAUGUGGAUAACUACCUGGACAAAGGAUUCCUGUGAAGGAAACCAAUUUGAACCUUGUUUAAAAGUUGUUCCCUUGGUCUUCAAACUCAAAUGGUCAAAUGAAUGCAGCAGUGUUGUAGAAACAUUCAUGAUCUCCAAAAACAGUCAUUAUUAAAAUCUUACAAAUCAUAUUUCCAAAAAGGUUUCACAAUUUUUAAAAAGGAGUCUCUCAUCUCCCUCACAUCAUGCAACCUGGCUUGUCCUUUGGCCUGGCUACAUCAUGGCAGGGAUCUCUGAAGACACUGUGUCCAGGGGCUGCCAGUGACAGUCCAUCAGAGCGUCAUACAGCUCCUCACUCUGUUCCAUGAACUCCUUGUUGGCCUCAGUCACAUCCAGCUGUGGCAUGGGGUCUGGAAAGCAAGCAAGGAUGGGGUCAGGGAAGUCUAGGGACAGCUGCAAGGGACCUGGUUCAGUUCCCUUCUCCCAGAACUCUGUUCUAUGGUAAGGUCCCUAUCCUGCCAGUUUCUUUCAGGAAGUGAAAGCACUGCCUUGCAGGGUUCUGGGGAAGAUGAAAAUAGAAUAAUGUAUCUAGAGAAUGGGAAAAUGGCAGCUGUUAGCCUGCAUCUAUUAAAAGCUACACCUGUGUCUCUAGCCAUCAUGUAUCCUAGAUUUUCUGGUCUGGUCCUCACUUCAAAUUUGGGUUUAGAAGGUCUGAUCAAAGUUAUUAAGUCCAGAGCAUCAUCUCAAGAACUGACAAUAAGUGCAUAGUGGAAGAACUUCAGUCAAAUAUAGGAGCUGAAAGGCCAAGUCCUGUAUGUAUGUAUGUGUGUGUGUAUGUACUUUAGAGAAAGGGUCUUGCUCUGUCACACAGGCUAGAGUACAGUGGCACACUUACAGCUCACAGCAGCCUUGAACUCUUAGGUUAAAGUGAUCCUCCCGCCUUAGCCUCCCAAAGUACUGAGAUUACAGGCAUGAGUCCCUGUCCCUGGUGGUAAAAUACUAUUAAAAAUUUUUUCUGCACAGUGGCUCAUGCCCAUAAUCCCAGCACUUCAGCAGGUCGAGGCGGGCAGAUCACCAGAAGUCGGGAGUUCAAGACCAGCCUGACCAACAUGGAGAAAUCCCAUCUCUACUAAAAAUACAAAAUGAGCCGGGCAUGGUGGCACAUGCCUAUAAUCCCAACUACUCGGGAGGCUGAGGCAGGAGAAUUGCUUGAACCCAGGAGGUGGAGGUUGCGGUGAGCCGAGAUGGCACCACUGCAUUCCAGCCUGGGCAACAAGAGCAAAACCCCGUCUCGGCCGGGCGCGGUGGCUCACGCCUGUAAUCCCAGCACUUUGGGAGGCCAAGGCAGGCAGAUCACAAGGUCAAGAGAUCGAGACCAUCCUGGCCAACAUGGUGAAACCCCGUCUCCACUAAAAAUAGAAAAAUUAGCUGGGCGUGGUGGCAGGCACCUGUAGUCCCAGCUACUCGGGAGGCUGAGGCAGGAGAAUCGCUUGAACCCGGGAGGCGGAGGUUGCAGUGAGCCGAGAUCACGCCAUUGCACUCCAGCCUGGGCAACAGAGCAAGAUGCCAUCUCAAAAAAAAAAAAAAAAUUAGCUGGGCAUGGUGACCUGUGUCUGUAGUGCCAGCUACUAGGGAGGCUGAGGCAGGAGGAUCACUUGAGCCUAGGAGGUCGAGGCUGCAGUGAGGCAUGUUCACAUCACUGAUCUCAAGUCUGGGCAACAAAGUGAGACUCUGUCUCAAAAAAAAAAAAAAACUGGGCACUGUGGCUCAUGCCUGUAAACCCAGCACUUUGGGAGGCCGAGGUGGGCAGAUCACAAGGUCAAGGGAUUGAGACCAUCCUGGGCAACAUGGUGAAACCCUGUCUCUACUCAAAUACAAAAAAUUAGCCGGGUAUGGCAGUGCACGCCUGUAGUCCCAGCUACUCGGGAGGCUGAGGCAGGAGAAUCACCUGAACCCGGGAGGCAGAGGUUGCAGUGAACAGAGAUGGCACCACUGCACUCCAGCCUGGCGACAGAGCAAAG